AGAAGAGCAUUGGUGGUAUAAAUACCCAGCAUAAACAGGAUUAAAAGAGCAACUACUGACUCCAUCAGAGAAGUGUGAAGUGAGAGAGACAAGCAUAGAGAGAGAAUAAAGUACACGCUCGUACACACAAAUGGAGAAUAUGUCUUGGUGCUGAAGUAUUGCUGAAGUUCAAACUGGGCCACUGGAUACAUCUAUUUUGGUCCACUCAGUGGCACCAGUCCCACUGGACACGCACCCACACACGGACAACAUCGCAGAGUUCAGGAUCCAUGGAAGAGCUGGACGCCAAAAUCUUUUGUGCCUCUUGCAUGGUAUGUAAUGAUAUUUCUGGCAAUCAUAACACACACAAGCUUUGCUAUUAUUAUUUUGUCACCGACUUGAUUGACACAAGGACGUUGUGGCUCAGCAGGACAUGGGCGGGAUUGGUCAAGGACACACUUUCUGCUAUUGUUUAGAAGAACAUGCUGCAGUUCCCAUUAGUGAGAGACAUUUCUAUUGUUAUUCACUGUAUCUGCAAUCCACUGUUGCCUCUGUAGUGACUCAUGUAGUAGAUGCUCCCAAGAGAUUGCAGGAAUAAAUUAAUUCCCAUGUUUAGAAUGCA
Long non-coding RNA from Cyprinus carpio (common carp), 601 nucleotides. Lineage: Eukaryota; Metazoa; Chordata; Actinopteri; Cypriniformes; Cyprinidae. The record is from Ensembl.